AUUGAACGCUGGCGGCAGGCCUAACACAUGCAAGUCGAGCGGAUGAAGGGAGCUUGCUCCUGGAUUCAGCGGCGGACGGGUGAGUAAUGCCUAGGAAUCUGCCUGGUAGUGGGGGAUAACGUCCGGAAACGGGCGCUAAUACCGCAUACGUCCUGAGGGAGAAAGUGGGGGAUCUUCGGACCUCACGCUAUCAGAUGAGCCUAGGUCGGAUUAGCUAGUUGGUGGGGUAAAGGCCUACCAAGGCGACGAUCCGUAACUGGUCUGAGAGGAUGAUCAGUCACACUGGGACUGAGACACGGUCCAGACUCCUACGGGAGGCAGCAGUGGGGAAUAUUGGACAAUGGGCGAAAGCCUGAUCCAGCCAUGCCGCGUGUGUGAAGGAGGUCUUCGGAUUGUAAAGCACUUUAAGUUGGGAGGAAGGGCAGUAAGUUAAUACCUUGCUGUUUUGACGUUACCAACAGAAUAAGCACCGGCUAACUUCGUG
This 484-nucleotide ribosomal RNA is filed under the name uncultured bacterium. RNAcentral's name for it is "partial 16S ribosomal RNA". It matches the Rfam family "Bacterial small subunit ribosomal RNA", at positions 30 to 507 of the family's 1533-position model. The record is from RNAcentral.